CACACACGCUCGUUCGGCCGCUCGGUUCAUAAGAUGUUACUGAGCGCCUGCCGUGUGCCACGUCUGGCUAGGCCCUGGUACACGGCGGUGAGCAGGGAGCACACAUGCCCUCUGGCAAAAAACAACAACAAAAAAACCCAUAGCAGCUCAGUGGUUACCGCUGCCAGCAGCGCCUGGCGACAAGUGUGAGCGUGUGCGGGCAGUGGCAGCUUCGCGGCUCGAAGCAGGACACCGGGACGCCAGCAGACGUGCUCUGAGAACUACCCGUAGCUGUCGCGUUGCGUCUGUGAGACCAUACCGCCCGGCUCCUGCUAAAUCGCAGUGCCCAGUCCCGGGCUCGACCUGCAGGCCGCUCUCUAGGAAAUGUCACCGGUGUGUCCUUUGGAGAAGGCAGUCAUGUCGAGCUCUUCUCACGUCUCUCCAGGAGAAGCCCCGAGGCGGUCACUGAUAAGAGCAGCAUCACUGUCAUUGUCCCCAGCCUGACAACAAUGAGGCCAGCGUCCUGAGGCCAACCGAGGACCACCACCAGGCAGUGCUCAACUUGCUUUCUUCUUUGUCUUUACUGUGGUAACGCUCGUGCACCUGAGUGAGAGAGCACCACUGGGUCUGGUCAUGCCACGAUCCCUUCCUCCGGCCCUCUGGCCUGUCAGAUCUUGGGCACUCUCGCUCAUGCCCAUGUGUUCAGGCUGAUGGAGUCGAGGACUCGAACCACAGUUUCCAUGUGGGAUUCACUUCUCGCUCAUGCCCGUGUGUUCAGGCUGACGGAGUCGAGGACUCGAACCACAGUUUCCAUGUGGGACUCACUUCUCGAGCAGUGUGCUACCACAGCACCACGGAGCUGGCCCAGACGGGCCUUCUUAUCCCCAAAGUCCCUCAUCAAA
Molecule: long non-coding RNA, 881 nt
Organism: Tupaia belangeri chinensis (Chinese tree shrew)
Lineage: Eukaryota; Metazoa; Chordata; Mammalia; Scandentia; Tupaiidae
Exons: 3
Source: RefSeq, a predicted model, not a curated record